AUACUUACCUUGCAGGGAGAUCCCAUGAUCAUGAAGGAAGUGUUUCCUAAGGAGGCCUCAUCCAUUACAACCUAGAUGUGAUGACCCCUGGGACUUCCCCAAAUGGGAAACUUGAAUGCAUAAUUUGUGGUCAUGGAGAACUGAGUUCAUGCUCUCUAC
Molecule: small nuclear RNA, 159 nt
Organism: Acomys russatus (golden spiny mouse)
Lineage: Eukaryota; Metazoa; Chordata; Mammalia; Rodentia; Muridae
Product: U1 spliceosomal RNA
Exons: 1
Source: RefSeq, a predicted model, not a curated record